Molecule: ribosomal RNA, 894 nt
Filed under: uncultured Gallionella sp.
Lineage: Bacteria; Pseudomonadati; Pseudomonadota; Betaproteobacteria; Nitrosomonadales; Gallionellaceae
Description: bacterial SSU rRNA
Rfam family: Bacterial small subunit ribosomal RNA
Source: RNAcentral
AUAUCGGAACAUGUCCGGAAGUGGGGGAUAACGUAGCGAAAGUUACGCUAAUACCGCAAAUGCCCCGAGGGGGAAAGGGGGGGAUCGCUAGACCUCUCGCUUUCGGAGUGGCCGAUAUCGGAUUAGCUAGUUGGUGAGGUAAAGGCUCACCAAGGCGACGAUCCGUAGCUGGUCUGAGAGGACGACCAGCCACACUGGAACUGAGACACGGUCCAGACUCCUACGGGAGGCAGCAGUGGGGAAUUUUGGACAAUGGGCGCAAGCCUGAUCCAGCCAUACCGCGUGAGUGAAGAAGGCCUUCGGGUUGUAAAGCUCUUUCAGCCGGAAAGAAAUCGUGCAGAUUAAUACUCUGUAUGGAUGACGGUACCGGAAGAAGAAGCACCGGCUAACUACGUGCCAGCAGCCGCGGUAAUACGUAGGGUGCGAGCGUUAAUCGGAAUUACUGGGCGUAAAGCGUGCGCAGGCGGUUUGGUAAGACAGACGUGAAAUCCCCGGGCUUAACCUGGGAACUGCGUUUGUGACUGUCAGACUAGAGUGUAGCAGAGGGGGGUAGAAUUCCACGUGUAGCAGUGAAAUGCGUAGAUAUGUGGAGGAAUACCAAUGGCGAAGGCAGCCCCCUGGGUUAACACUGACGCUCAUGCACGAAAGCGUGGGGAGCAAACAGGAUUAGAUACCCUGGUAGUCCACGCCCUAAACGAUGUCAACUAGGUGUUGGGGAAGGAGACUUCUUUAGUACCGCAGCUAACGCGUGAAGUUGACCGCCUGGGGAGUACGGUCGCAAGAUUAAAACUCAAAGGAAUUGACGGGGACCCGCACAAGCGGUGGAUUAUGUGGAUUAAUUCGAUGCAACGCGAAAACCUUACCUACCCUUGACAUGUCAGGAAGUUUCCAGAG